CCAGGCUGCUGUGCUGCAGCCGGCAGCCUCACGCGUGUCUCUUGCAGCUUGGCGUCUUCACGGCUGUAUCCGGCGUUUCGGUAACGGGCAAGGCAACUACCCCUUCCCGGUGCUUAAAGACCGUCAGCACAGCCUGUCUCUGCUCGUUGGAGCUCCUCGGUGUCGGUGGGGACUGCAACUUCCCAGCUGCUCCGUGGUGCUCACAAACCGGGAAUGCCUGUGGCCACACGCUCCGCUUCCACUGAUGUCUCAUGCGCAGGCAGAGCUGCCUCGGUGCGGUCGCAGCGGAGGGGUGGUCCGCUGAAGGGGGACAUCUUGAAGAGAAGCAGCUAGACGUCAUGAUGCAGUUGUUCAUUUUGGUCAUCGCCUCUGAGGUAAGCAUCCAAGUACAGGAGGAACAAUCUAGGAGAUGUAUCAAAAAGGUAACAGGUUUGAAACAGAGGCAGGUAAAUUAAGUGCUGUCAUUCUUCCAUGUAGUUAAAGAGUGAGAGAAUUGUUGGUUAAACACGUGUAUACGAAGGUUUGAGAAAGGAUAUUGAACGGUACAAUAAUACUGAACCAGACUAAGGUUUCAUGGAAGAUGGCAUAGGUGUGUACUAGUGAUGUGCCUGCCUGUCUAAUAACCUGGCCCUAGUUGCUGUAUGUUUUGUUUCCAAAUUGUUUACCCUGUAAUGUAUGAUGUCAAGUGCUGUUAUAACACCUUUCCUUUAAGGAAAAGAAAAAAAAGAAAAAGAACAUGGUAAAGAGAAAAAGAACAUGCAUGUUCCACCUUGGAUAACUAAGGUAACUAUUGAUAACAAAUCGCUGUUAUUUCUGUCUCCCAGGGGCAGCACUGAGGACCAAGUAACCCAUUCUUACCCUUUGGAUAUUGUUAACUGUAUCUGCCUUAGUUUUGUUCUGGUUGUUUCUGUUUGGCGUUGUUAUCUUACAUACGUAUGUGAAAAGGGAAAGAUAUAAUACUUGUUAGAUUAAUUGCUAUGGCUGAAAUUGAACAGACCAGGAAAACGUAAGCAAGCUGAUGUAAUAAAAUCAAGUGGAACCAACUGAAAGCUGUCUCC
Molecule: long non-coding RNA, 1058 nt
Filed under: Struthio camelus australis
Lineage: Eukaryota; Metazoa; Chordata; Aves; Struthioniformes; Struthionidae
Description: lncRNA (ENSSCUG00000006783.1)
Source: RNAcentral